GGAGAGAUGGCCGAGUUCGGCUGAAGGCGUCUGCCUCGAAAGCAGAUAUGGGGGAAACUCCAUCGGGGGUUCAAAUCCCUCUCUCUCCG
This 89-nucleotide transfer RNA is filed under the name Nitrospirota bacterium. Its description in RNAcentral is "Nitrospirae bacterium (groundwater metagenome) tRNA-Ser". It matches the Rfam family "tRNA". From Rfam's summary of the family: Transfer RNA (tRNA) molecules are approximately 80 nucleotides in length. RNAcentral also lists the same sequence under 1 other name. The record is from RNAcentral. Lineage: Bacteria; Pseudomonadati; Nitrospirota.